CAAACAGGUCCUGGGAUGGGCAAGCACAGGGGAUCCAAAUGUGCAAAAGUGACUCCCUUCAAGACUGAGACAGUGGGAAGAUGAAGAAAUGUCUGUCUCUGCAGGAGCUCACCAGGCGUGCUUGAGAAGAAGGGAGUGGGAGCCCAGCAGAUCACAAACUAUGGUGUAGCACAGUGAGAGGAGCCAAUACAAGGCCAGAGGCAGAGCAGAGGCCACACGCAGAGAUGCCAAAACACAUAUGCAUGUUGGACAUUUUUGUCUAAAGACACUAUGAAGUGCUAAAAUAUUAACUUU
Molecule: long non-coding RNA, 294 nt
Organism: Pezoporus occidentalis (night parrot)
Lineage: Eukaryota; Metazoa; Chordata; Aves; Psittaciformes; Psittacidae
Exons: 3
Source: RefSeq, a predicted model, not a curated record